Molecule: non-coding RNA, 25 nt
Filed under: Mus musculus (house mouse)
Lineage: Eukaryota; Metazoa; Chordata; Mammalia; Rodentia; Muridae
Source: RNAcentral
UAAUAAUCACACCUGUCAUAAAGUC